RNAcentral lists this long non-coding RNA (2654 nucleotides) under Malus domestica (apple). Its description in RNAcentral is "long non-coding RNA (MDOM_LNC000322)". Lineage: Eukaryota; Viridiplantae; Streptophyta; Magnoliopsida; Rosales; Rosaceae. The record is from RNAcentral.
UAGUGAACUUGCUUUAAUUACAAGUUUGCCACUCCAAUGAAUAAAGGUAUAAAUAUGACUUUAUAGCAAAAAUUCAUUUAGGGUUUUCUUUUGGGGAAACGAUGAGAACACAAGCUCUCUUUUCUCUCUAAAGAGGCCAGCCACCCUUGGAGGGAUUAGCUAGUAAUCUUUCUCCUCCAAGGUCACUCAUCUCUUCUUCACAUCUUACCUUGGUGUGGAGACUUAGAGGUUCUCUAUUUUGAGAACUUGGAGAAACAUAUUUUUCCAUCCAAAUCCAUGGAUCUAAGAAGCAAGGAAUGAAGGCCCUCUCCUUGGGUGAUUAGCCUUUGCUUAUGCAAAGAGGAAUCUACAAAGGUAUAAAUUUCUCAACUCACUUUGUUUUGAGUUGAGUCUUGGUUCACCAAUCUACUAGGCUUUGAAUUUCAUGGUUAAUGUUUUGUUUUUAAGUGCAUACAAGCAUGAUUCCGCUUUUUAAUUGUUAAUUGCAUGCUAUAGAUGUUGCUUAAAUGAACAUGUUUUUCACAAAAUUUCCUUCAUGUAACAUCCCACGUCGCCCAGGGGAGUGGAUCCUAUAAGCCUUAUAUGUAUAUUCUCAUCUCUACCUAGCACGAGGCCUUUCGGGAGCUCACUGGCUUCGGGUUCCAUCAGAACUCAUAAUUUAAGCGAGUUCGUGCGAGAGCAAUCCCAGGAUGGGUGACCCAUUAGGAAGUUCUCUUGUGAGUUCCCAGAAACAGAACCAUGAGGGCGUGGUCGGGGCCCAAAGUGGACAAUAUUGUGCUAUGGUAGAGCAGAGCCCAAGAUGUGGUGGAGCCCGGGUCGGGGUGUGACAUGCGGACCUUGAAGUAGUAUGAUAUGCUAGUAUAAUUAGUUCAGGUAGUGUUCCUGCUUAUUUCUCUUUUGUUAUUCCUUUGGUUUUCAAUAAGGUUUCAAUUUUUCCGUUUUCGGGUGAUUAAUUGUACCAUAAGACAAUUUGUAUAAAUGAUAGUUUGAUUUGCUAGAAAAUCGAUUUGUGGUUUUAUUAAGGCAUUUCUGGAACUAUUGGUUUGCAUUGAUUAGUUAAUUUUAAUGAUUCAUAAUCAGAUUCUUGACUUUGAUACGUUGAGAUCAAUUUGAUAAUUGGGAGUAGUGUGAUAUGACAUUACUAUAUGCCCAUGUUUACAAAAUGUAGAUUAAAGUAUUUUGUAAUUCUUGAAUUAAUUAUGUAAGUGUACAAAUGGAGUUUUAGAGUUUUGUAAUUUGAAAUGUAUAGGAAAAUUUGAAUGUCAGGAUAAGCAUCUUGAUUAAUUUAGACUUAGUGAUCACUUCCAUAAUUCAACAGACUGGGUGUUAUGUUUCAUAUUCAAGUGGGAGAAUGUUAGGGUAUAAGAAUGAAUCUAGCAUUGGAUCCGAUUAUAGUAUGAGAAUUGGAUAUGGAAGGUUUAAUUAAUAAGCUUUGAGUAAUCCUAUUUCUUGUAGGAUUGAAAGCACUAUUUGUGGUUUGAGGUUUGAGGACUUGAACAUGAACUGGGAUUGUGUUUAUUCACAUGUUAAUAUGAAUAGGGUGCAGCCCUAUACUGAUUCUAAUAGGAGAAUAGUAAGGAUAAUGUUUAGUAUAUAAACACUAGUCACUACUUUUGCAAUGCCCCUGCUCGUCUUGAUUAAAAGUCCUAUUCUUUAAGAGCGCUUGAUUAUUGCUAAGGAGGAGAAGAUUAACUAUUGCAAAGAACAUUCAUUGCUUCAUCAUCUUCAUCUGGUGCUACAACUAUGUUUUUUAUUUGAUCUAUAAGAUAGUAGUGUUGUUCUUCUAUUUUGUGGCUCAAUGGCAUAUCUAGAAUCUAUAAUAUAGUACAUGUAUAUAUAUCUUACAGAAAACGUCUACUCCAAUUCUUAGAGACUAAGUAAUAACAACAACAAAGCCUUUUCCCACUAGUGGGGUCGAUUGUCUGAAUCCUAGAACGCCAUUGCGGUCGAUUUUGUGCCAUGUCUUCCGUUUGAUCCAAGUACUCUAAGUCUUUUAUUAGAGUCUCUUCCAAAGUCUUCCUUUACCCUUUCAACCCUGAACCUCUGUCUCAUAAUCGCAUCUUCUAACCGGAGCAUUAGUAGGCCUUUGUUUCACAUGUCCAAACCACCAUAACCGAUUUUCUCUCAUUUUUCCUUCAAUUUCGGUUACUCCUACUUUACCUCGGAUAUCCUCAUUCUUAACCUCAUUCCUAAUCUUAUCAUUUCUCAUGUGCCACACAUCGAACGAAGCGUUCUUAUCUCCGCUACACACAUUCUAUGUACGUGUUGAUUCUUCACCGCCUAACAUUAUAUGCCAUAAAGCAUCGUUGGCCUUAUUGUCAUCCUAUAAAAAAUUUCCUUGACCUUUAGUGGCAUACGACGAUCACACAACAUGCCCAAUGCACUCUUUCACUUCAUCCAUCUAGCUUGUAUUCUAUGAUUGAGGUCUCCAUCUUGUUGGAAAUGUGCCCUAAAACCAAUCAUAUGAUGAUACUUUACGGACAUUUCACAAGUUAAACUAAUGUAGUUUAAAUAUAAAGGGCAAAGAUUAUUGUUUUAAGCCGUCUCAUAUAAAUGUUAUAUGCUUAAACGAUAAGUCCAAGAAAUAUGUGAUUGGGAGAAUGCAAUCUAAAGAAGUUAGAUUCAUGAGACCAUUCUUUCGUAUACAUAUCCUA